AACCUAGCACACCUGCGGUGUGUACCUGCGGAGGGAUCAUUACCGAGUUUACAACCCCCAAACCCCUGUGAACAUACCUAUACGUUGCCUCGGCGGAUCAGCCCGCGCCCCGUAAAAAGGGACGGCCCGCCCGAGGACCCCUAAACUCUGUUUUUAGUGGAACUUCUGAGUAAAACAAACAAAUAAAUCAAAACUUUUAACAAUGGAUCU
This 210-nucleotide unclassified non-coding RNA is filed under the name soil metagenome. RNAcentral's name for it is "partial contains 5.8S ribosomal RNA, internal transcribed spacer 2, and large subunit ribosomal RNA". The record is from RNAcentral.